GUUAGUAUUUUCGAAAAACAUUGAAUGAUAACUAUGUAAUCAAACGAAUAAAUAUAAUGAAAUAUAAUUGUAAGCGUGUUAUAACACAAUAUAUAAUAUAAUUUAUAUAUAACGCGUACCUAUAGAAAUGUACAUAAUAUAUAUAUGUGUAUUGUAUACCAAUAAUUAUGAUAGUUAUUUUAACAGUCGUCGUCACUUCAAGUAAACGAGUUCUCGACGACUAACAUAUACACAAAUCGCCGAACACCUGAAAGCACGAUCGUAUAGGAAUUAGAAUAUACAUCGGCCGAAGUCGAGGUUCGUUCACCGUCCGCCAAAUCGAUCGCGAGCACCGAUUUUUCGACAAUCUAAGAAACAGCUUGACCUGCAAAAUCGCGUUGGCAAGUCGCGGUGAUUUUGGAGGGUCCAAAGGAACCAGGUGAUACAGUUCAAUACCGAACAUCACAGGGCGGCUUACUUAGGUGCGAGUUUCGAUUGAGACUUCCGAGGUUAAAAACAGCAGCGAAUUAACUUCAUGAGCAGAGACGCAGCAGUGUGUGGAAAAGGAUUUAGAGAUUCGUCCAACGAUUACCUAGUUUGUUGCUCUUGAUAUAGGUAUCAAUCAAAAAAAAAAAAAUG
Myzus persicae (green peach aphid) is the source of this 618-nucleotide long non-coding RNA. RefSeq lists it as uncharacterized. The record is from RefSeq and is a predicted model, not a curated record. Lineage: Eukaryota; Metazoa; Arthropoda; Insecta; Hemiptera; Aphididae. The transcript has 2 exons.